UUUUAUGAUGAUUUUUUUUACUAUUAAUAACUUUCGUUCUACUGACUGCGAUCAAACGAUCUUGUAGAGAACUUUUAAUCUGAUC
RNAcentral lists this small nucleolar RNA (85 nucleotides) under Tetrapisispora phaffii CBS 4417. RNAcentral describes it as "Small nucleolar RNA snR54". It matches the Rfam family "Small nucleolar RNA snR54". Rfam says of the family: snR54 is a member of the C/D class of snoRNA which contain the C (UGAUGA) and D (CUGA) box motifs. The record is from Rfam by way of RNAcentral. Lineage: Eukaryota; Fungi; Ascomycota; Saccharomycetes; Saccharomycetales; Saccharomycetaceae.